AGGACGAACGCUGGCGGCAUGCCUAAUACAUGCAAGUCGAGCGAAUCUUUAAAGGAGCUUGCUUCUUUAAAGGUUAGCGGCGGAUGGGUGAGUAACACGUGGGCAACCUGCCCUACAGAUGGGGAUAACUCCGGGAAACCGGGGCUAAUACCGAAUAAACAGUUUGUCCGCAUGGACAAACUCUGAAAGACGGUUUCGGCUGUCACUGUAGGAUGGGCCCGCGGCGCAUUAGCUAGUUGGUGGGAUAACGGCCUACCAAGGCGACGAUGCGUA
RNAcentral lists this ribosomal RNA (273 nucleotides) under uncultured bacterium. RNAcentral describes it as "partial small subunit ribosomal RNA". It matches the Rfam family "Bacterial small subunit ribosomal RNA", at positions 26 to 285 of the family's 1533-position model. The record is from RNAcentral.